UACGUAGGGUGCGAGCGUUGUCCGGAAUUACUGGGCGUAAAGAGCUCGUAGGUGGUUUGUCGCGUCGUCUGUGAAAUUCCGGGGCUUAACCUCGGGCGUGCAGGCGAUACGGGCAAUACUUGAGUGCUGUAGGGGAGACUGGAAUUCCUGGUGUAGCGGUGAAAUGCGCAGAUAUCAGGAGGAACACCGAUGGCGAAGGCAGGUCUCUGGGCAGUUACUGACGCUGAGGAGCGAAAGCAUGGGUAGCGAACAGGAUUAGAUA
RNAcentral lists this ribosomal RNA (262 nucleotides) under uncultured prokaryote. RNAcentral describes it as "partial 16S ribosomal RNA". It matches the Rfam family "Bacterial small subunit ribosomal RNA", at positions 524 to 784 of the family's 1533-position model. The record is from RNAcentral.